Molecule: long non-coding RNA, 602 nt
Organism: Suricata suricatta (meerkat)
Lineage: Eukaryota; Metazoa; Chordata; Mammalia; Carnivora; Herpestidae
Exons: 3
Source: RefSeq, a predicted model, not a curated record
AAAUGACCAAUUACAGGGUGAGCCAAGGAUCCCCACGUGGGGUGCCUCCUAGGCAUAAGAAAACAUUCUGAGGAGCUGGAAUCCGGGAACAUCACCAGCAGCAGCAGCGGCCACACCUACACACACCUGGCAGUGUUCCCAGGAAGAAGGCGGAAGAUGCCCUGUCUCAUUGCCAGAUCUCCUUCCUUCGACAUCCCACUGGCCAAACCAUCAGCUGACUCCUACCCAGGAUGCUUGGUUUCGGGAGCCAGCUUGUCCUAAUGGUCCAGGGAAGCACUCAGAUUUCCGGGCAGGCUGGAGCAGUCUGAGUGCUGAGUCUAAAUGGUGUGAUCGCUGUCACCACUGAACUGGAAAGCGAGUAAAUGGGCAGGCUGCAGAGAUGAAUCACUGGCGACCAAGUUCCAGCAGUUUCUUCUUGGUGGCUCUUUGCUGCUGGAAGCCUUCUUUGUUUGGGUCUAGGGGCUUUUUAUUUCUUUUUGUUGGCCUCACUAAUAGCUUUUGGUUAUUAAUAUCCCUGAUGGGAACUGAAUUGGGACCCCAGUAUCCUUGUGAACACUGGUGAGAACAUUAAACCGUGCCGGAAUUACCUCGGAGACCAUCAA